This 1533-nucleotide long non-coding RNA is filed under the name Cricetulus griseus (Chinese hamster). RNAcentral's name for it is "lncRNA (ENSCGRG00015039610.1)". The record is from RNAcentral. Lineage: Eukaryota; Metazoa; Chordata; Mammalia; Rodentia; Cricetidae.
AAAAAAAGAGUCCUUUAAAAACAAAUUUACUUCAAGCCAGGUGUGAUAGCACACACUUUUAACCCCAGUACUCCAGGGACAGUGAUUUGCUGAGAAGCAUUUGAAGAACACAUCUCCAUAAACAGUUACUAUCAAAUCCAUUUAUAUAGGAAUGUGCUAAGGUCCAGAGAUCUUAAAUAGCAGGCCUAUGUUUACAUAGCCAGGAAUGGCAGGACCUAUUUUGGUGUCUCCUGGAGGAAACAAACCUUGGUAUGAAUAAAGAAAAGAUGUCUGCAGAGGAGAACCAGGAAGGAUAAUAAUUAGUGUUUGGAAAUAUUUUAUUUAGUGACAAUAUUGCAACUUCCUAGUUUUAUGGUUUAGACAGCACUUUCCAGGACUUUGAUAUAUGAACUGUCAUAACUCUAGCCCCAGUCUGAACCCCAGGCACACCACAGACUGCUUCCCUGGGUCCUCCCGGCUUCACAAGCCAUCCAGAUUCCCAGAGGCUAAGUGGGUGACCUGGGGCACACCUGGCUGUCUUGGCACAGCCACUAAGCGCACACAUUCCCUCAUAAGUGCCGCACCUGGACAAACAGGACUCAUACUUUUUGGCUCCAAGGACAAUAUUUCUUUGCUGGAUCAUUUUCCUGUCUGCAUCCCCGGCCAUCCCACAGAGAAAUGCCCUCCUCGUGUUGUCUGUAAAACCCCAGGAAUGCCUCUCCUGACACUUCAGCCUUUCGUAGUGGUUUGGGCAAUUUGGAAAUACAAUUAAAGCAAUAGUUUAGUGAUUUUUCUGUGCCUCCUCUGUUUUUGCAAGCCCCACGGAUUAUUAUUUUUACUGUGGCUGUGAAGAGCCCUGAUCUUGUCCACUAAAUCCUUCUAUCUAAUGAGCAAUGGCUUAACAAAAGUCCCAAAGCCAUAAACUUGGAGGUUAUCCUUUCCAGGCCACCAAUGAGGUGUCCACCGAUGAUGGAGUUUCUGUCCCACCAAGGCCCACAGUCAUUUGGUCCCAAAUAAACACACAGAGGCUCAUGACUAAGACGGAGAUUAACUCUCUCUUAAUUAUUAACCCAUUUCUGUUAAUCUAUGUAUCUCCAUUUGGUCCUGGCUUACCAGAAAAAAAUCUCAGCAUCCUACCUUCCUGGUGGCUACAUGGCCUCUCCGUCUGGAAACCACUUUUGUACCUUUCCUUUUCCAGAAUUCUCCUAGUCUGGUAGCCCGGCCUAUACUUCCUGCCUGGCUACUGGCCAAUCAGCAUUUGUUCAUUAACCAAUAAGAGAAACAUAUUCACAGAAGGACAUCCUCCAUCAAUCCAUCUUCGGAUAAAUGUUCUUUGUAUGGGUUUGGGAGUAUCUUUGAAUGAGUGAACGGUCAGGAGAGAGGAGCUAGUGAGCCUCUGCUUUGUCUGAAGAGGAGGAAGGGACUCCAGUCUCUACCAUUGGGUGGGAGCAAUGGCUGGGCAAGUCUUGCUCACUCUGGGAAAAUACUGACUUUGGUGGCUUGGUUAAGGGGGUAUGCCAGCUAUGUGAUUUAUGUGUCAAUGCAAAAACAGAC